RNAcentral lists this ribosomal RNA (573 nucleotides) under Aspergillus sp. FZ107. Its description in RNAcentral is "eukaryotic LSU rRNA". The stretch from base 220 to 373 matches the Rfam family "5.8S ribosomal RNA". Lineage: Eukaryota; Fungi; Ascomycota; Eurotiomycetes; Eurotiales; Aspergillaceae. The record is from RNAcentral.
CUUCCGUAGGGUGAACCUGCGGAAGGAUCAUUACCGAGUGCGGGUCCUUUGGGCCCAACCUCCCAUCCGUGUCUAUUAUACCCUGUUGCUUCGGCGGGCCCGCCGCUUGUCGGCCGCCGGGGGGGCGCCUUUGCCCCCCGGGCCCGUGCCCGCCGGAGACCCCAACACGAACACUGUCUGAAAGCGUGCAGUCUGAGUUGAUUGAAUGCAAUCAGUUAAAACUUUCAACAAUGGAUCUCUUGGUUCCGGCAUCGAUGAAGAACGCAGCGAAAUGCGAUAACUAAUGUGAAUUGCAGAAUUCAGUGAAUCAUCGAGUCUUUGAACGCACAUUGCGCCCCCUGGUAUUCCGGGGGGCAUGCCUGUCCGAGCGUCAUUGCUGCCCUCAAGCCCGGCUUGUGUGUUGGGUCGCCGUCCCCCUCUCCGGGGGGACGGGCCCGAAAGGCAGCGGCGGCACCGCGUCCGAUCCUCGAGCGUAUGGGGCUUUGUCACAUGCUCUGUAGGAUUGGCCGGCGCCUGCCGACGUUUUCCAACCAUUUCUCCAGGUGACCUCGGAUCACGUAGGGAACCCCAUCU